Molecule: non-coding RNA, 30 nt
Filed under: Mus musculus (house mouse)
Lineage: Eukaryota; Metazoa; Chordata; Mammalia; Rodentia; Muridae
Source: RNAcentral
UAGGAUGCAUUGUGCAUGCACAUCCUGUGU